CAAUAGCGUAUAUUAAAGUUGUUGCAGUUAAAAAGCUCGUAGUUGGAUUUCUGGUGGGAGCGAUCGGUCUGGCGCUUAGCGCGAGUACUUGCAUCGUCUCCGGCCAUCCUUGGGAAGAGUCUGUCUGGCAUUAAGUUGUCGGGCAGAGGAUCCUCAUCGUUUACUGUGAAAAAAUUAGAGUGUUCAAAGCAGGCUUAUGCCGUUGAAUAUAUUAGCAUGGAAUAAUAAGAUAGGACUUUGGUACUAUUUUGUUGGUUUGCGCACCAAAGUAAUGAUUAAUAGGGACAGUUGGGGGUAUUCGUAUUCCGUUGUCAGAGGUGAAAUUCUUGGAUUUACGGAAGACGAACUACUGCGAAAGCAUUUACCAAGGAUGUUUUCAUUAA
Molecule: ribosomal RNA, 383 nt
Filed under: uncultured eukaryote
Lineage: Eukaryota
Description: partial 18S ribosomal RNA
Rfam family: Eukaryotic small subunit ribosomal RNA
Source: RNAcentral